AAGCGAUCAGACAAGUCAAUCGAACCCCAGCCCAAUCAACCCUUCCUCUGACCUGAUCAACCUUGAUUGGCGUUACGACCGAACGAGACGCCACCAGCUACCAGUAUUCCAUGGCAUCUAUUCUGAUAGCCCUGAUCGAAACUGGACGAAAUGUGUACGUAACGUAGAAAAAAACGCCGCGCAAAAGAGGAGCACAGGCUGGUACACGACCAGGCAUCAGAGCAACGACAUUCGGCGACGGGCACGAUGACGACAAGGCGUGUUGUAGGAUGCCCAAGAAGAAAAAAGAGUGUGAUAGACCGGAUAGAUCGGUGAUGGGCGGGGAGAAACACCAUCCUGAUGCUGGCGGCGACAGAUGGCGACUGAGUGAACAGUCAACGCUUAGCGGGAGAGGAAGACUUAAGACUCUAGACAAAGCAAACAGGGACCUGGGUCUAAUUUUAUAAGAGGAUUACUUACAGGAUGCCCUGGAUGGUUUGCCAAUCCUAUCUGGCACAGGCUUUUGGCUCAAAAGGGGCUCCGUGGAGUUGAGACGGGUUGAUAGUCCGCCUGCCAUGAACAUCAACACUUGACACAAGCCUCGCCCGUAUUCGGGAUUUCGAAUCACUUUGGAUUGACUGCUUAGUGAAAGACUUUAUGGGUUUAUCACAAGGUUGCAAUAUCGAGUGAACCAAGUGCUGUAAGCCACCAAGACAUCAGAUGACGCCACGGCUGAUGAGGCGCCUGAUUGCAGGUGGCAUCGCCCCUCGAUGGGCAAACGUUCGUUUGAGUCACGUGUGCCGCACUGGCAUGGCUUGGCGGCGCUGUUCGACGGCAUCUCAACUUCCCUCCUUCCGGACAUCUUAGGAAUAUUUUAGGCCUGGCAAGGAUGCCUUUUUAACAGCCCUGAAGCUUAGCAACAAGACGUGCGACCGGUUCCUGUUGCGAGCAGCGUCGACUCGUAUUCUGGUCGCCCCCGGCGCAAGGGCGCGAUUGCUGUCCCCGUUUCCUCCCUCCGGUUAUGCUUAGCUCCAGGAGUGCAGGCACUGCGGACGGAUACCCUUGAUAGAUACCGAGCACUUCAUUGCCUUGUUGCGUCACUAUUUCUGCCUGCUUGAGCCAGACCGUUCUUUACCCUUCUCCCUCCAUCGCUCCUAGAUCGGCUGUCCGCCUUGACCCGAGUCGACGUGGACGAGCAGGCUUGGCCCAAGCCUAUCAAGCAUCGGCAACCUCCAGUUCGGCUUUUCCGCGGCCUUCACGAUGCCCAUCCGUCUCAGGGCAAGGCCCCAGCCUGAGCGGGAACAUGAGCCCCGUCUCGUCCAGGACCGACUUCACACUACCCGAAAUCGACGACAACGACUCGUUCCGCCACGUGCUACGAAGCUUUCUCUAUACUUUGUGAUGCUAUUGACUUGCCCACCACCUUUGAACAGAUGAGAACUACAGCCGCGGGCAACUUCAUCGGUGCUCUCGUCAACCAACUCAAGGACUCGUGCUCGAACCCGGCUGUAGUCCGAGCUCUUUUGCACGCCCUUGCCGACAUCUACCCGUAAUUUGAUUGCUAACAUGCAGUUCGUUUCGCAUAGAGCACUCAAAUGGCACUAUGCCUCAACACAUGAACUCAUGGACCUAACCGAGACGUGGUCGAAUGCGUGCGAGAUCGUAGCAUGGCGCUAUCUGGCCCGCCUCUCAGAGCGCGAAGCCAUGGACUGUUGCCUGUACGGUAUUCCAGACUUGAUGACACUGCGAAACAUCGAGCACGGCGACCGCAGCGGUAUGACCAAGAGGCCGCCGAGACGUCGCCCUUGAUUCCCCCGUCCCGUCUUGCUUCGCGGGAGGUGUCACCAGCCCUGGUCGUUGGGAGCUCACCAAACGGACCAAGCUAGAAAACUCGCUCCCGCGUCUGACGAAUGCAGGCGAUGAUUUGGCCGACGAACAAGACCCGACAUCAGCAUUCAAGGUUCUCAACGCGCUAGAGAUUGCGACCAUUGCUGAUGCGAAGCAUUUCCUCAGCCAACACGCCGUGCAGAGGAUCAUCAGCGGUAUCUGGAAUGGCGAUAUCGUGUUCUGGGACUCGUUGUCUGUUCACGCUACCAACAAGCCCGUUACUACAAUCCCGAGACGUCCGAGGCUUUUUCUCGAUUGCGUGUCCCCAAAUACCUCAAGAGCUGGGAAGUGCUUUUCUUGCCGUAUUCCUUUGCAUAUACUAUAGCGUGCAGUCGCCCGAGUCGAGAGCCGAAUUACUGCCAACGAGGUGAUGCUGUUCAUCUGGAUGGCAGCCUUCGCUUACGACGAACUUAGCGAGUUGAUGGAUGCCGGAUCUGUUUUCUAUGCAACGGAUAUCUGGAAUUUAUUUGACAUGGUCAUAAUCAUCAUUGCGCUUGUUUUUGCCGUGCUGAGAAUUGUCGGUCUGGCGCGGGCUGACGCGGGCACGACUAGCCUUGCAUUCGACGUUCUCUCUCUCGAGGCGCUGUUUAUGAUGCCGAGUAUCUGCUCGAUCUUGAGUUUGAAUCGUAUUGGGGAACACUGAUACCGUGCUUGAGAGAGAUGGGCAAGGACUUUAUCAAGUUUAUGGUACUUGUCGUUAUCAUUUACCUCGGCUUCUUGACCACCUUCUCGCUCAUUGGGCGCGAUUCCUUUAGUCUGGCCAAUAUGACGGGCAUCUUGACGCGAAUCUUCUUCGGAUCGAGCUACGUUGGCUUAGACAUUAUGAGCCAGAUCGACCCCGUCUUUGGACCGCCUCUGAUGUUGAUUUUCAUCACUUUGACGUCGAUUCUACUGACUGGGUCGCUGACUGGUAUGCUCUCCAACCGCUUCUCUCGCGUCAUCACGCAUGCCAAGGAGGAGUAUUUGUACGUGUACAGCGUUUAUGUACUGGAAGUAUCAACCAGCAACAGGCUCACCUAUUUUACCCGCCGUUUAAUCUUUCGCGCUCAUCAUUUUCCGACCGCUGCGGCUUGUAUUUGGCAGAGACGAGAUAUUUCGCGCGGGCCGGAUUGUUCUGCUCAAAGUAACGCACCUACCAGUAGUGGCGGCUAUCAAAGCUUAUGAGCUCAUUCAGCGAAAGCUGAAACGGACCCACCACGUCAGACUUGACGAGCGCACAAGAGCGAAGCGAGCCGCAGAAAGGACGCCUGUGCCUCGCGGUAGACCCGUGUCCGGGCAUCUCCGGCAGCCGAGACAGCCCUUCAGAGACCUGUACUGGGAGAGGCGGCGAGUUGGGAGACAACUACGCAGACUCGUCCGGCCUCGUCGACGUUCAGAUCGCGGAGCUGAACCAAAAACUUGACAAGCUCACGGACCUCGUCAUGGCUUUGCAGGCUGGCCAGACCAGCAUCGAGAAGGCGGCCGAGAGCCAGAGUCAGCGACAAUAAAGAAGUUGACGGCCCCCGAUGAUUUUACUUUGGAGGGGAGGGGGGUUUUCGGUCUUCGAUACGAUACUUGUAGCGAUUAAGGUGCAGAGCUCCCUGCACGACAAGCUCAUUGCCCUGCUCUUCGUCAAGGCAGUUUUAAAAGAGUAAAACGUUUAGAAUCCAGAACACAGGCAAUCGGCAAUACUGGCUGGGUCUUGGCCGGGCGCGCAUGGGCAACAGUCAAUGUUCUCGAAGAGACUCUUAUGAAAAUGGAUUUGAGUUACUACUCAACGGCUACCCAUGAUGCAAGUGUCGAGGAAGAGUAAAUAAAAGAAGCGUCUCGACAGCAACCAGGCCAAUACGAUUGGCGAGUAUAUACGAGUGACCAUGACAGUAGAUAUAUUCUGGAGUCUCCAGCGUCUGGGUAUGUAUGGGGCGAAAAGGCCGAGGUCAAGGUUCGACAGAAGCGAAUGAAGCUUUUUUGUCGUCGAAUGGUGAAUCGUGGCCGAAGUUUUUGCUACGCACGGACCUCAGCCGAUGAUUGGGCCAACUUUCUUGCCAAGAAGGUCGGCCAGGGUAUCGAGAAGAAUCUGGAAGGAUUUCGAUGGUGGCUAGAUCAAGGAGAGAGGAGAUGACGGUUCUGAUUCUGCAUGCUUGGCGGUGUUUCCGUUCAUGGUGUCUCGCAGCCAGACAAGCGCCUUGACGGCGGCGAGGACGGCCAAGCUCCCAUGAUCGGAGGUGAGGUCUCGCUGUGGACUUAUAGACGAAGAGCGGGAUCUGGGGCAAGGCGCCGCCAAGGAGGUUCUUGACGAUGAGCUUGAUGACGAGCGGGAAACAUUGGCUUCUCGGCUUGAAGAAGUCGGAGCGGCUCUGAGGCAGAACU
Molecule: unclassified non-coding RNA, 4215 nt
Filed under: Nilaparvata lugens (brown planthopper)
Lineage: Eukaryota; Metazoa; Arthropoda; Insecta; Hemiptera; Delphacidae
Description: uncharacterized LOC120348981, transcript variant X4
Source: RNAcentral